UGCAAGUCGUACGCUUCUUUUUCCACCGGAGCUUGCUCCACCGGAAAAAGAAGAGUGGCGAACGGGUGAGUAACACGUGGGUAACCUGCCCAUCAGAAGGGGAUAACACUUGGAAACAGGUGCUAAUACCGUAUAACAAUCGAAACCGCAUGGUUUUGAUUUGAAAGGCGCUUUCGGGUGUCGCUGAUGGAUGGACCCGCGGUGCAUUAGCUAGUUGGUGAGGUAACGGCUCACCAAGGCCACGAUGCAUAGCCGACCUGAGAGGGUGAUCGGCCACAUUGGGACUGAGACACGGCCCAAACUCCUACGGGAGGCAGCAGUAGGGAAUCUUCGGCAAUGGACGAAAGUCUGACCGAGCAACGCCGCGUGAGUGAAGAAGGUUUUCGGAUCGUAAAACUCUGUUGUUAGAGAAGAACAAGGAUGAGAGUAACUGUUCAUCCCUUGACGGUAUCUAACCAGAAAGCCACGGCUAACUACGUGCCAGCAGCCGCGGUAAUACGUAGGUGGCAAGCGUUGUCCGGAUUUAUUGGGCGUAAAGCGAGCGCAGGCGGUUUCUUAAGUCUGAUGUGAAAGCCCCCGGCUCAACCGGGGAGGGUCAUUGGAAACUGGGAGACUUGAGUGCAGAAGAGGAGAGUGGAAUUCCAUGUGUAGCGGUGAAAUGCGUAGAUAUAUGGAGGAACACCAGUGGCGAAGGCGGCUCUCUGGUCUGUAACUGACGCUGAGGCUCGAAAGCGUGGGGAGCAAACAGGAUUAGAUACCCUGGUAGUCCACGCCGUAAACGAUGAGUGCUAAGUGUUGGAGGGUUUCCGCCCUUCAGUGCUGCAGCUAACGCAUUAAGCACUCCGCCUGGGGAGUACGACCGCAAGGUUGAAACUCAAAGGAAUUGACGGGGGCCCGCACAAGCGGUGGAGCAUGUGGUUUAAUUCGAAGCAACGCGAAGAACCUUACCAGGUCUUGACAUCCUUUGACCACUCUAGAGAUAGAGCUUCCCCUUCGGGGGCAAAGUGACAGGUGGUGCAUGGUUGUCGUCAGCUCGUGUCGUGAGAUGUUGGGUUAAGUCCCGCAACGAGCGCAACCCUUAUUGUUAGUUGCCAUCAUUUAGUUGGGCACUCUAGCAAGACUGCCGGUGACAAACCGGAGGAAGGUGGGGAUGACGUCAAAUCAUCAUGCCCCUUAUGACCUGGGCUACACACGUGCUACAAUGGGAAGUACAACGAGUCGCGAAGUCGCGAGGCUAAGCUAAUCUCUUAAAGCUUCUCUCAGUUCGGAUUGUAGGCUGCAACUCGCCUACAUGAAGCCGGAAUCGCUAGUAAUCGCGGAUCAGCACGCCGCGGUGAAUACGUUCCCGGGCCUUGUACACACCGCCCGUCACACCACGAGAGUUUGUAACACCCGAAGUCGGUGAGGUAACCUUUUGGAGCCAGCCGC
RNAcentral lists this ribosomal RNA (1428 nucleotides) under Enterococcus durans. RNAcentral describes it as "bacterial SSU rRNA". It matches the Rfam family "Bacterial small subunit ribosomal RNA". The record is from RNAcentral. Lineage: Bacteria; Bacillati; Bacillota; Bacilli; Lactobacillales; Enterococcaceae.